GGAUAACAACAGGAGGCAGUCUCCACCCUGAUCCUCCCACUGGGUCCUGGGCGUGAAGGUGGGAGUUAGCAGUGUGGGGUAAGGCCCCAGUGGCGGCGAGCUUGACCAGCAUGGGCACUGGCAGACUGUGAAACAGGGGAUUUCCUUCAGCAUUUCUGCAGUCACCACAGCUGAAUCCCUCUGUUUGUUUACUUCUUACUGUCAGUCGUCACCUACUCCUGGAAGUCCACAGGCAUUUGGAGCAGAUGUGCUGCUGUAGGCAAAAAAGUGAGGAACGGUGGGAAGAGAGACUACAUAGACCCGGGUUCAAAUCUCAGCUCUGCUGGUCUCAAGCUGAAUGAUUGGGCAAGUAACUUAACUUUUUUUUCUUUCCUUUCUUUCUCUCUUUCUCUCCUUCUCUCCUUCCCUCCCUCCCUCCCUCCCUCUCUUCCUUCCUUCCUUCCUUCCUUCCUUCCUUCCUUCCUUCCUUCCUUCCUUCCUUCCUUUCUUCCUUUCUCUU
This 499-nucleotide long non-coding RNA is filed under the name Rhinopithecus bieti (black snub-nosed monkey). RNAcentral's name for it is "lncRNA (ENSRBIG00000045940.1)". Lineage: Eukaryota; Metazoa; Chordata; Mammalia; Primates; Cercopithecidae. The record is from RNAcentral.